RNAcentral lists this small RNA (314 nucleotides) under uncultured bacterium. RNAcentral's name for it is "bacterial SSU rRNA". It matches the Rfam family "Bacterial small subunit ribosomal RNA", at positions 69 to 352 of the family's 1533-position model. The record is from RNAcentral.
ACUUAAGGGAGCUUGCUCCUUUAAGUUAGCGGCGGACGGGUGAGUAACACGUGGGCAACCUGCCCUAUAGCUUGGGAUAACUCCGGGAAACCGGGGCUAAUACCGAAUAAUACAAUUUAGCUCCUGCUAGAUUGUUGAAAGAUGGUUCUGCUAUCGCUAUAGGAUGGGCCCGCGGCGCAUUAGCUAGUUGGUGAGGUAACGGCUCACCAAGGCGGCGAUGCGUAGCCGACCUGAGAGGGUGAUCGGCCACACUGGGACUUUCUCCCGGCCCANAGACAUACGGGAGGCAGCUUUCCUCUCUUGCAUUAAACUCU